UGUGGCUGAUAAACCAAUACAGUGUCAUG
RNAcentral lists this non-coding RNA (29 nucleotides) under Cricetulus griseus (Chinese hamster). Lineage: Eukaryota; Metazoa; Chordata; Mammalia; Rodentia; Cricetidae. The record is from RNAcentral.